UAAAAGGGUUGUUUGCCGCCGCUGUCGGCCGGCGACGGUCGGCGCAGUAUGGUUAUCAAGACAUACUGAACACGUAUUUUUUUUAACGGUGAGGCCCUUUC
Small nuclear RNA from Leguminivora glycinivorella, 101 nucleotides. RefSeq annotates it as U11 spliceosomal RNA. The transcript has a single exon. Lineage: Eukaryota; Metazoa; Arthropoda; Insecta; Lepidoptera; Tortricidae. The record is from RefSeq and is a predicted model, not a curated record.